This 468-nucleotide ribosomal RNA is filed under the name uncultured bacterium. RNAcentral describes it as "partial 16S ribosomal RNA". It matches the Rfam family "Bacterial small subunit ribosomal RNA", at positions 28 to 507 of the family's 1533-position model. The record is from RNAcentral.
GACGAACGCUGGCGGCGUGCUUAACACAUGCAAGUCGAACGGAAAGGCGAUGCUUUUGUGGGGUGCUCGUGUGGCGCGCGCGUGAGUAAAACGCGUGUAUCAUGCCCUUGACUGUGUGAUAACUUCACGGGACUGGGGCGCAUACCCGAUAUGAGCUACUGCUGCGUGGUGUGGAUUGGAGAGUUUCGGCGUUUGGGGAUGGACUCGCGGGUUAUGAGCUUGUUUGUGGGGUAGUGGAUUACCAAGGGUUUGACGGGUAGGCGGCCUGGGAGGGUGACCGGGGACAUGGCGACUGAGAGACGGCCCAGACUCGUACGGGACGCAGAAGUGGGGAACAUUGCACAAUGGGCGGAAGCCAGAUGUAGCAACGCCGCGUGCGGGAUGACGGGCUUCGGGGUGUAAACCGCUUUCGCCUGUGACGUAGCGGGAGUGACGGUAACGGGUAAAGAAGCACCGGCUAACUACGUG